UCUUCUUGAAUUGAUUUGAAGUYUGGCCUGUUCACUGAUUAAUUUAAGAACCGCGGUAUUUUGACCGUGCAAAGGUAGCAUAAUCAUUAGUCUUUUAAUUGGGGGCUGGAAUGAAUGGUUUAAUGAAUUAAUAAUUGUGUCUGGAUGAUAAGUUGAAUUUUAUUUUUAAGUUAAAAAGCUUAAAUGAGGAAUAGGGACGAGAAGACCCURUAGAUCUUUAUAUAAUUUGAUUUUAUGAAUAAUUGGUUAUGAAUUAAUCAUAUAAUUAAAUUAUAUUUUAUUGGGGUGAUAUGAGAAUAUAAUAACUUCUUAAUUUUUUAACUUAAAUUUAUGGUUARUUGAUCCUUUAUUAUGGAAUUAAGAUUAAGAUACCUUAGGGAUAACAGCGUAAUUUUGUUGGAGAGUUCUUAUCGAUAAUGAAGAUUGCGACCUCNAUGUUGGAUUAAGAAUAURUUUUGGUGUAGAAGUUAAAAUUGUUGGUCUGUUC
Molecule: ribosomal RNA, 487 nt
Filed under: Paranisitra maculata
Lineage: Eukaryota; Metazoa; Arthropoda; Insecta; Orthoptera; Gryllidae
Description: partial 16S ribosomal RNA
Source: RNAcentral